RNAcentral lists this ribosomal RNA (360 nucleotides) under uncultured bacterium. RNAcentral's name for it is "bacterial SSU rRNA". It matches the Rfam family "Bacterial small subunit ribosomal RNA", at positions 1030 to 1392 of the family's 1533-position model. The record is from RNAcentral.
GCACACAGGUGCUGCAUGGCCGUCGUCAGCUCGUGUCGUGAGAUGUUGGGUUAAGUCCCGCAACGAGCGCAACCCUCGCCAUUAGUUGCCAUCAUUAAGUUGGGCACUCUAGUGGGACUGCCGGUGAUAAGCCGGAGGAAGGUGGGGAUGACGUCAAGUCAUCAUGGCCCUUAUGGGCUGGGCUACACACGUGCUACAAUGGCGGUGACAAUGGGCAGCCACUCAGCGAUGAGGAGCUAAUCCCUAAAAGCCGUCUCAGCUCGGAUUGGGGUCUGCAGCUCGACCCCAUGAAGUCGGAAUCGCUAGUAAUCGCAGAUCAGCACGCUGCGGUGAAUACGUUCCCGGGCCUUGUACACACCG